This 416-nucleotide unclassified non-coding RNA is filed under the name soil metagenome. Its description in RNAcentral is "partial contains 5.8S ribosomal RNA, internal transcribed spacer 2, and large subunit ribosomal RNA". The stretch from base 1 to 120 matches the Rfam family "5.8S ribosomal RNA", at positions 35 to 154 of the family's 154-position model. The record is from RNAcentral.
GAUGAAGAACGCAGCGAAAUGCGAUAAGUAAUGUGAAUUGCAGAAUUCAGUGAAUCAUCGAAUCUUUGAACGCACCUUGCACUCCUUGGUAUUCCGAGGAGUACGCCUGUUCGAGUGUUAUGAAGCUCUCAAAACGCAAUUGGCUUAAAACCUGAUUGUUGUUUUGGAUUUGAACUUUGCCGUGUUAUAACGGCUGGUUUUAAAAGUAUUAGCUGGUACUAGAACGAAUUGGUUCUACUCAACGUGAUAAUUAUCUGAUCGUUGAGGACAUUCCUUUCACGAGGAAUGGCCAUAGUAAAUUCAAUGGACUGCUUCUAAACUGGCUUUAAUUCUUUAUUGGAUUAACCACUUUUCAAAUCUGACCUCGAAUCAGGUGGGACUACCCGCUGAACUCAAGCAUAUCAAUAAGCGGAGGA